ACCACAACGGGUGGAGCCUGCGGUUUAAUUGGACUCAACGCCGGGCAGCUCACCGGAUAAGACAGCUGGAUGAUAGCCGGGCUGAAGACUCUGCUUGACUAGCUGAGAGGAGGUGCAUGGCCGUCGUCAGUUCGUACUGCGAAGCAUCCUGUUAAGUCAGGCAACGAGCGAGACCCACGCCAACAGUUGCCAGCAUGUCCUCCGGGAUGAUGGGGACACUGUUGGGACCGCCUCUGCUAAAGAGGAGGAAGGAAUGGGCAACGGUAGGUCAGCAUGCCCCGAAUUAUCUGGGCUACACGCGGGCUACAAUGGGUGGGACAAUGGGUAUCGACACCGAAAGGUGAAGGCAAUCUCCUAAACCCAUCCGUAGUUCGGAUUGUGGGCUGCAACUCGCCCACAUGAAGCUGGAAUCUGUAGUAAUCGUGUCUCAAAAUGGCACGGUGAAUAUGUCCCUGCUCCUU
This 461-nucleotide ribosomal RNA is filed under the name uncultured Methanomicrobiales archaeon. RNAcentral describes it as "bacterial SSU rRNA". It matches the Rfam family "Archaeal small subunit ribosomal RNA", at positions 878 to 1338 of the family's 1478-position model. Lineage: Archaea; Methanobacteriati; Methanobacteriota; Methanomicrobia; Methanomicrobiales. The record is from RNAcentral.